RNAcentral lists this unclassified non-coding RNA (263 nucleotides) under plant metagenome. Its description in RNAcentral is "partial contains small subunit ribosomal RNA, internal transcribed spacer 1, and 5.8S ribosomal RNA". The record is from RNAcentral.
UUUCCGUAGGUGGACCUGCGGAAGGAUCAUUAUUGUAUAACCGAGGUGCGAGGGCUGUCGCUGACCCGAAAGGUCGUGCACGCCCGAGUGCCCUCACACGCAUCCAUCUCACCCCUAUGUGCACCACCGCGUGGGUCCCCCUUUGGCUUGUUCGGAGGGGGGCUUACGUUUUCACACAAACUUUGUAUGCAGUGUAGAAUGUAUUUUUUGUUUUUGCGAUCACGCAAUCAAUACAACUUUCAACAACGGAUCUCUUGGCUCUC